RNAcentral lists this ribosomal RNA (536 nucleotides) under uncultured bacterium. RNAcentral's name for it is "bacterial SSU rRNA". It matches the Rfam family "Bacterial small subunit ribosomal RNA", at positions 777 to 1304 of the family's 1533-position model. The record is from RNAcentral.
AAUAGAUACCCUGGUAGUCCACGCCGUAAACGGUGGGCACUAGGUGUGGGCAGCAUUCCACGUUGUCCGUGCCGUAGCUAACGCAUUAAGUGCCCCGCCUGGGGAGUACGGCCGCAAGGCUAAAACUCAAAGGAAUUGACGGGGGCCCGCACAAGCGGCGGAGCAUGUGGCUUAAUUCGACGCAACGCGAAGAACCUUACCAAGGCUUGACAUACACCGGAAACAUCCAGAGAUGGGUGCCCCCUUGUGGUCGGUGUACAGGUGGUGCAUGGCUGUCGUCAGCUCAUGUCGUGAGAUGUUGGGUUAAGUCCCGCAACGAGCGCAACCCUUGUCCCGUGUUGCCAGCAGGCCCUUGUGGUGCUGGGGACUCACGGGAGACCGGCCGGGGUCAACUCGGAGGAAGGUGGGGACGACGUCAAGUCAUCAUGCCCCUUAUGUCUUGGGCUGCACACGUGCUACAAUGGCCGGUACAAAGAGCUGCGAUACCGUGAGGUGGAGCGAAUCUACAAAAAGCCGGUCUCAGUUCGGAUUGGGGU